Molecule: ribosomal RNA, 354 nt
Filed under: uncultured bacterium
Lineage: Bacteria
Description: bacterial SSU rRNA
Rfam family: Bacterial small subunit ribosomal RNA
Source: RNAcentral
GAUGAACGCUAGCGGCAGGCUUAAUACAUGCAAGUCGAGGGGCAGCAUGACUGUAGCAAUACAGUUGAUGGCGACCGGCAAAACGGGUGCGGAACACGUACAGAACCUUCCUUCGAGCGGGGAGUAGCCCAGAGAAAUUUGGAUUAAUACCCCAUAGUAUAUUAGAGUGGCAUCACUUUGAUAUUAAAGAUUUAUCACUUGAAGAUGGCUGUGCGGCUGAUUAGGUAGUUGGCGGGGGUAACGGCCCACCAAGCCUUCGAUCAGUAACUGGUGUGAGAGCACGACCAGUCACACGGGCGACUGAGACACGGGCCCGACUCCUACGGGAGGCAGCAGUAAGGAAUAUUGGUCAAU